Long non-coding RNA from Panicum virgatum (switchgrass), 350 nucleotides. RefSeq lists it as uncharacterized. The transcript is spliced from 2 exons. Lineage: Eukaryota; Viridiplantae; Streptophyta; Magnoliopsida; Poales; Poaceae. The record is from RefSeq and is a predicted model, not a curated record.
CCUGCCCUCCCCGUUUCUCCUCGUGAGGGCUCCCUGAUCCGGUUCCCCCCGGAUGCAUCGUUUCGUGUUUCUUAGAAUCUCGGCCGUUUCUACGCCGUUACAUGGAUUUGGCUUGAUUCGAUUUGCGGAAUGGAAGGAUUCGAGCCGUUGCCGGAGUUUGGGUGGUUGUGGCGGAGAUGGGGCGUAUUUGGAUCAUUUUGUGCGAGGGAGAUCUCGGCUAGCGUCCUCCUAUAUUCCACAUUGGUUUAUUCGAAGGGUUACGACGCUCUGGUGACAACUGACAAUGGCGCCACUGAAGAUAAGUUUUUUGUUCUUGCGUUGCAUCACAUGUUUGAAUAGAACCGGUGGAU